Alligator mississippiensis (American alligator) is the source of this 3320-nucleotide long non-coding RNA. RefSeq lists it as uncharacterized. The transcript has 3 exons. Lineage: Eukaryota; Metazoa; Chordata; Crocodylia; Alligatoridae. The record is from RefSeq and is a predicted model, not a curated record.
UCCCCCACCCAGUGUGCUCCCCAGCAGACCCGGAAGUGGACCAGAAGUACUUCCGGUCCACUUCUGGGUUUGCUGCUGAGCAUGCUGGAGAGCCCCCCCAUGCUGCUGUGGGAUGCUCCAUCUGCCCCAGCACCUCACCGAUCACAAGCCAUGCUGCUACCUCAAGCACGGCACUAGGAACCUCUUGGCUUUCCUGCUGCCAGCCAUGGAACCACCAUUGCCAGCUCACUGGAUGCAGAUUUGUUUGUUCCAGGGACAUCAAGCAGGAAGUAACAAGGGUAGCUAUCCUCCACAAUGACACACUUAGAUUUCAACGAACAAUUGGAUGCGGACAGGAUAUCGUUCUGAGACUUCUAUGCUGACCAGCUCAUCUUCUCUCUGGAAGGCAAGGAGAUAAUUGAGGCUAACCAGGGCUCUGUUAUUGAUUGUCAUGGGCUCACAAUCUUCUGAAAUAUUUUGCUAUCUUGUAUCCUCAGUCAAACCCUUUAAAGAGACUAAGCAGUAAUUUUCAAAGGGAGUGCUCUUGCACAUUAACAUGUUGCAAGAGCAGCAGAAGUUGUGUUGCAAAAGAUGGGAUGGAUCAUGUCCUGGCUGCAUACGACCCAUAUGGAGGGAUUCAUCCCAUGAACCGGUUCUGGACCACGGACUAAUAAGUGAAGUGUGCCAUCAAUUUUACUCCAGAAAAAAGUGGGCCCUAGAUAUCAACAGUUUGGGAUAUACUGGAUGAGAGGACUUCAGAGUCAUGAUUAUGAUUACUGCCCUACAGUAAAAAAAAUGCUGUUUAGUUUCUCUCAGUCAUACCUGACUGCCUUCAUUGAAGCUAAUUAUUACUACAAGUUUCAUUUGAGUUGAAUACAACCAUGGCACCACAUAUAUUAAUUCUCAGUAUUUAAUUCAUCCUCCAUCUGAAGAUUAGCACAGAGUUUUGAAGGAGCGAAUAUGUCAUUGUCUGUUCUCAUUGUACCUGUCAAGAACCUAAAUGGUGAUGUCCAAAUAUGUGCUGACUAUAAAUGUACAGUAAACAAAGCACUGCAGAAACAUCCAUAUCAAAUUUUAGCUUUAAACUUGCUCCUUGUUAAUUCUUCUGGAAGGAAGGUUUUUGCUAACGUGGACUUGGCACAAGCUUAUUGACAACUCCUUGUGAAUGCCGUUGAAUGCAUCCAUGAUCAUUAUCCACUAAGCAUUCUGAGCAAAGAGCAAAGCACCCAUAGCUGGAGUCAUAACUGCACAAGGAAUUUUCCAAAUAUGUAUGGAAAAGUUACUCAGAGACCUAAAGGGAGUAAUGCCAUAUUUUGAUGAAAUUCUUAUUAGAGCAGAGUCCAUGCAGUUAAGUAACUGUUCAAAUGUAAGAAGUUUUAUGCCACAUCAUCAAUGCUGCCUAAGACUCAAGAAAGAGAAGUGCUGAGUUCCUGAGUUUCCAAGUUGAUGUAAAUAGAAUUUCGCCAGUGAAUGCAAAAGUAUGUGUAAUUCAUGGAGCUCCAAUGGCCAAGAACAAGAAAAAACUGCAAACAUUCCUGGGUUUCUUUAACUUUAACCACUGCUUCUUCUAGUGGUGAUGUAAACCUUUCGGAGCAAGCACUGGUGCACCCCCUGACAGCCAGCAUCCCCUACCUAGGUGACAGGUGUGUGUGUGUGGGGGGGGGGGGCAGACAAGAGCACUGGUGCCCAGCCUGAGUGCAGUGGCUGGGGAAGGGGGGCACCAGGAGAAAUGAUCCCCAUGGUCCCCCCAUGGCCAAUCAUGAGACCGUAGUAGGCAUGGAACCCCCCCCCCCAAACAAUUGGGUGCUGGGGGACUCCCCUGGUUGGCAUGACUGGCUAUGGGAGGACCCCCCCCCCCAGUCAGAAUAAUUGGCUGCAGGGGGACCCUCCCCCCCGAUCACUGACUGGCAGCUAGGGGUGCAAGUGCUUCUUAUACUGACUUCUUACAAGACAAGGCCACAGUUACUGAGCUUUUACAUUGCCUAAUUGGACCAGGAUGCAACAUGGAAAUGGACUAUAUUUCACAAAGCUUUGUGAUUCAUCCAACAGCAUAUUAAUCCAUUUUGACAUGGAGAAGCCACUGCUACUUAUUUGAGAGAUUUAACCAUAUGAAACUGAAGCUGUCCCAAGUCAUCUGUAGAAUGAUGGACAUAAAACUCAAAUUGCUUCUAUACAUCAACUGAGAUUUCAACCAAGAAGAAUAAUAUCCAAGUUGACAAGGGGGCCCUUGAAAUUGUUUCUGGGGUAAAAAAAAAAAAAAAAAAAAAAAAAAAAGCACAACUAUUUAUGUGUCUUAAAAUUCCUGAUUAUGAUGCACCACAAGCCACUACUGAGAUUAUUCACCUAAAAUAAACCAACACCCUCAAAUCAUUUCAUCAUGUAUGGGCGAUUGUUCCUUACUCAACAACAAACAUAACUAUGAAAUUCCACAUCAGUCUGGAAAAGAAGCAGCCAAUGCAGAUGCAUUGAGCUAAUUGCUAUUAACUAGUUGUGAGUUGACUAUUCCUCCAGCAUGUGAAGUUCUAAUAUCAUCUUUCCAGGCAGAUGACACUGCUGACAUGACUACCAAGGAUCCAGGGUUAGCUCAAGUUCUGAACUGGGUAUAGAAGGGGAGGCCUUCAGCUUUUAGAAACAUAAAGGUUAAAGAAAAAAUGGGCUAGUUAUGAAGCUGUCCACUAGAAAGUUUCUAAAUAUGUAUUAUUCUUCUAUUAAACAUAAGUUGGUUGGGUCCUAAGAUCAUGCCUGUCAGCUGCACUGAUGUGAAUGGAAAUGCACUGAUUUAAAAACAGGAGAGAGUUUGGUGUAAGCCAUCAAUAUUGACCCUGAACCAGAGAUGCCAAAAGUCAAAUUAUACAUUAUGAAUUUACAAUUUACUUCUCUGUAAUAUGACAUGCUGUAGUACAAUAGAGGAUGUAUUUGUAUUUAUGCUUUUGUCUUCUGGUACUUUAUCUGUCAAAUUCUCAUGUAAAAACUUUAUUUCCCCUUUGAGUUCAUAGAGGCCACAAGCAUGAAAUUGCAAUUUACAUGUUAAUAGAGGUCUGCUUCAAGCAAUAUAUGACCUAGAACAACUAGCCAUAAAUGCAACAACAUAAUAAUGGAUAUGUUUAUGAACAGUUCAUGUAUCCCAAUGACCAUUUAAUGAAAAAAAAAAAUACAGUUUUUGCAAGGGGGGGUGAAUAAGAGAGAUAUACAAGUAAAAUAAGGAUAAACAUUACUUUCUAGACAAAACUGCAGUGUAUCUCUUGUCUUCCUGUUAUAUGUUAAUAUUUACAAAGCACCUCAAGUCAGUGUACACACACUUCAGUCAUUAGGAAUAUAAAGAUAUACUCAUAGAACCAUAA